UACGGAGGAUGCAAGCGUUAUCCGGAAUGAUUGGGCGUAAAGGGUCCGCAGGUGGCAGUGUAAAUCUGCUGUCAAAGAAUGAGGCUUAACCUUAUCAAGGCAGUGGAAACUACACAGCUAGAGUACGGUCGGGGUAGAAGGAAUUCCUGGUGUAGCGGUGAAAUGCGUAGAGAUCAGGAAGAACACCGGUGGCGAAAGCGUUCUGCUAGACCUGUACUGACACUGAGGGACGAAAGCUAGGGGAGCGAAUGGG
This 253-nucleotide ribosomal RNA is filed under the name uncultured bacterium. Its description in RNAcentral is "partial 16S ribosomal RNA". It matches the Rfam family "Bacterial small subunit ribosomal RNA", at positions 524 to 776 of the family's 1533-position model. The record is from RNAcentral.